Pseudopipra pipra is the source of this 1280-nucleotide long non-coding RNA. RefSeq lists it as uncharacterized. The transcript has 2 exons. NCBI's taxonomy places the organism in Eukaryota, Metazoa, Chordata, Aves, Passeriformes, Pipridae. The record is from RefSeq and is a predicted model, not a curated record.
GCCACACUCUCCUCCUGCUCUUGUUUGACUUAUCAGACAGAAUCAAAUCAUUUUUGUAGGCAGCAAAGCAUGAUGGUUUUUGAGGCACCCCACCAGCUUUGAUCUGUGAGAAGCCCUGAAAAAUGUCACUUGUCCACAAAUAUUUAACAGGGAGUGAAAUGGAGGCACAGGGGUAGCUCAGGUCAUAGAAUCAUAGAAUGUUAAGCAUUGGAAGGGACCUUAAAGAUCAUCUAGUCCCAAUUCCCCCAGCUACAGGCAGAGACACUCCCCACUAGACCAGGUUCCUCAAGGCCUUAUCCAACCUGGCCUUGAACACUGCCAGGGUUGGGGCAUCCAGAACCUCCCUGGGCAACCUAUUACUGUAUAUUACCACCAUCAUAGUAAAGUAUUUUUUCUAAACUAAAUUUCCCCUCUUUCAGUUUGUAUCCCUUGUCCUAUCACUACAGUUGCUGACAAAAGACUCCCUCACCAGCUUCCCUGUAGGCCCCUUCAGAUACUAGAAGGUUUCUAUGAGGUUUCCACACAACCUUCUCCAGGUUGAACAGCCCCAACCUUCUCAGCCUUUCUUCGUAGGGCAAAUGCUCCACUCCUCUUAUCAACUUCUUGGACCUCCUCUGGACUUGCUCCAACAGUUCCAUGUCCUUUUUAUGUUUAGGGCACCAGAACUGUAUGCAGUAAAGGUCCAAGAAGGUACCCAUGGGAUUUCCAAAAAGGUACCCAUGGGAUUUCCAACAAGGUCCUGCCAGCUCCUCAUUUGCCAUCAUCCCUCAUUUCUGUGAGCAUCUUGUUCUCCUGGCCUGUUUAGGGCCAUGCUCUCAUCAUACCCCUGUGUGUGGAAAUGUCUAUCUUACUGUCCUGGGGCCCCACCAUGGGAGUCUUCAGACCCCAACAGAGAGCAGCAAGCCCUGUGGGUGCAAAUGCUCUCAUUGAGCUUUGAGCCGCCUGCUCAGGCCUGCUUUCAAUCCACAGAUUGAAAGUGAAAGCUGGGGAGACCACAGGGCUCACAGGACAUCAUCACCCAGGAGAUAAGGGGAGCCAGGCUUUCUCCUAAAGGAGCACAAACACUCACACUCUGAAAGGAGAGAUUAAAGGGAAAAGGCUGGAGGAGGAGACACCAGAUCAGGCACUCCAGUCCAGGAUGGUCUGCAGCACCACAAGGGCAAGAGCUUGUGUUGACAGUCACAAAGAGUAAAACCAGAGCAGGGCCUGAUGACAGGCUCACAGCAGGCUCACAGCCCUGCCUGCUCCCUCUGCUGCUGAGCAAGCAGAGCAAGGCUGAA